This 492-nucleotide ribosomal RNA is filed under the name uncultured bacterium. Its description in RNAcentral is "partial 16S ribosomal RNA". It matches the Rfam family "Bacterial small subunit ribosomal RNA", at positions 29 to 507 of the family's 1533-position model. The record is from RNAcentral.
AGUGAACGCUGGCGGUAGGCCUAACACAUGCAAGUCGAACGGCAGCACAGUAAGAGCUUGCUCUUACGGGUGGCGAGUGGCGGACGGGUGAGGAAUACAUCGGAAUCUACUUUUUCGUGGGGGAUAACGUAGGGAAACUUACGCUAAUACCGCAUACGACCUACGGGUGAAAGCAGGGGAUCUUCGGACCUUGCGCGAUUGAAUGAGCCGAUGUCGGAUUAGCUAGUUGGCGGGGUAAAGGCCCACCAGGGCGACGAUCCGUAGCUGGUCUGAGAGGAUGAUCAGCCACACUGGAACUGAGACACGGUCCAGACUCCUACGGGAGGCAGCAGUGGGGAAUAUUGGACAAUGGGCGCAAGCCUGAUCCAGCCAUACCGCGUGGGUGAAGAAGGCCUUCGGGUUGUAAAGCCCUUUUGUUGGGAAAGAAAAGCAGCAGGUUAAUACCCCGCUGUUCUGACGGUGCCCAAAGAAUAAGCACCGGCUAACUUCGUG